RNAcentral lists this ribosomal RNA (484 nucleotides) under uncultured bacterium. RNAcentral's name for it is "partial 16S ribosomal RNA". It matches the Rfam family "Bacterial small subunit ribosomal RNA", at positions 30 to 507 of the family's 1533-position model. The record is from RNAcentral.
AUUGAACGCUAGCGGGAUGCUUUACACAUGCAAGUCGAACGGCAGCGCGGACUUCGGUCUGGCGGCGAGUGGCGAACGGGUGAGUAAUGUAUCGGAACGUGCCCAGUAGCGGGGGAUAACUACGCGAAAGCGUAGCUAAUACCGCAUACGCCCUACGGGGGAAAGCAGGGGAUCGUAAGACCUUGCCCUAUUGGAGCGGCCGAUAUCGGAUUAGCUAGUUGGUGAGGUAACGGCUCACCAAGGCGACGAUCCGUAGCUGGUUUGAGAGGACGACCAGCCACACUGGGACUGAGACACGGCCCAGACUCCUACGGGAGGCAGCAGUGGGGAAUUUUGGACAAUGGGGGCAACCCUGAUCCAGCCAUCCCGCGUGUGCGAUGAAGGCCUUCGGGUUGUAAAGCACUUUUGGCAGGAAAGAAACGUCGCGGGCUAAUACCCCGUGGAACUGACGGUACCUGCAGAAUAAGCACCGGCUAACUACGUG